CUACGGAGGGUGCAAGCGUUAUCCGGAAUCAUUGGGUUUAAAGGGUCCGUAGGCGGACUAAUAAGUCAGGGGUGAAAUCCCACAGCUUAACUGUGGAACUGCCUUUGAUACUGUUAGUCUUUAGUUAUAUGGAAGUAGAUAGAAUGUGUAGUGUAGCGGUGAAAUGCUUAGAGAUUACACAGAAUACCGAUUGCGAAGGCAGUCUACUACAUAUAUACUGACGCUAAUGGACGAAAGCGUGGGGAGCGAACAGGAUUAGAAACCCUAGUAGUCC
Molecule: ribosomal RNA, 274 nt
Filed under: uncultured bacterium
Lineage: Bacteria
Description: partial 16S ribosomal RNA
Rfam family: Bacterial small subunit ribosomal RNA
Source: RNAcentral